This 556-nucleotide ribosomal RNA is filed under the name Badhamia nitens. RNAcentral describes it as "SSU rRNA". It matches the Rfam family "Eukaryotic small subunit ribosomal RNA", at positions 28 to 537 of the family's 1831-position model. Lineage: Eukaryota; Evosea; Eumycetozoa; Physariida; Physaraceae. The record is from RNAcentral.
AUGCUUCUCCUAAAGACUAAGCCAUGCAUGCCUUCGAAUAGAAGAGCAUUCUCUUUGAAUCUGCGAACGGCUCCGCAAACCAGUUGUAAACCAUAGCAAGCAAGCCCCAGUACCGGCGCAAGCUGGUGUUGGGGUAAUAGGGUAUAACCCUGGUAAUUCUGAGGCUAAUACAAGAACGUAACACCUGGCUGACCGGGCAACCGGAAGGCUGGGGAACGUGUAAUGGUAAGCAAGGAUGUAUGGGAAUAGAUGCACGUUCAGACCACCAUAUCAACAGUCUCGAGCCAACCUCACGGGCGGUUCUUGUCUGGGUGGCUCUUGCUUCGUGCUUCUGACCUAUCAACUAGAUGGCAGCGUAACGGACAUGCUAUGGUGACAACGGGUACAGAGGAUAAGGGUUCGAUCCUGGAGAGUGGGCCUGAGAGAUUGCUCACACUUCUAAGGAAGGCAGCAGGCGCGCAACGUUCCCCUUGGGCAAUGCUCGAGGGCGUUAGGGGAAAUAUGAAUGUCUGCCUUAUGGUGGACAAUUCAAAUGGGUCUGUUGUAAACAGCCUCU